UACAGAGGGGGCAAGCGUUGUUCGGAAUUACUGGGCGUAAAGGGCGCGUAGGCGGCCUGUUAAGUCGAACGUGAAAUCCCCGGGCUCAACCCGGGAACUGCGUCCGAUACUGGCAGGCUUGAAUUCGGGAGAGGGAUGUGGAAUUCCAGGUGUAGCGGUGAAAUGCGUAGAUAUCUGGAGGAACACCGGUGGCGAAGGCGGCGAGCUGGCCUGUACCUGACGCUGAGGCGCGACAGCGUGGGGAGCAAACGGG
Molecule: ribosomal RNA, 253 nt
Filed under: uncultured bacterium
Lineage: Bacteria
Description: partial 16S ribosomal RNA
Rfam family: Bacterial small subunit ribosomal RNA
Source: RNAcentral